GACGAACGCUGGCGGCGUGCUUAACACAUGCAAGUCGUACGGUAAGGCCCUUUCGGGGGUACACGAGUGGCGAACGGGUGAGUAACACGUGAGUAACCUGCCCACAACUUUGGGAUAACGCUAGGAAACUGGUGCUAAUACUGGCUAUGUUCUCCUGCUGCAUGGUGGGGGUUGGAAAGCUCCGGCGGUUGUGGAUGGACUCGCGGCCUAUCAGCUUGUUGGUGGGGUAGUGGCCUACCAAGGCGGCGACGGGUAGCCGGCCUGAGAGGGUGACCGGCCACAUUGGGACUGAGAGACGGCCCAGACUCCUACGGGAGGCAGCAGGGGGGAAGAUUGCACAAUGGGCGCAAGCCGGAUGCAGCAACGCCGCGUGCGGGAUGACGGCCUUCGGGUUGUAAACCGCUUUCAGCAGGGACGAAGCUUUUUGUGACGGUACCUGCAGAAGAAGCACCGGCUAACUACGUG
RNAcentral lists this ribosomal RNA (465 nucleotides) under uncultured bacterium. RNAcentral's name for it is "partial 16S ribosomal RNA". It matches the Rfam family "Bacterial small subunit ribosomal RNA", at positions 28 to 507 of the family's 1533-position model. The record is from RNAcentral.